Mauremys reevesii (Reeves's turtle) is the source of this 321-nucleotide long non-coding RNA. RefSeq lists it as uncharacterized. NCBI's taxonomy places the organism in Eukaryota, Metazoa, Chordata, Testudines, Geoemydidae. The transcript is spliced from 3 exons. The record is from RefSeq and is a predicted model, not a curated record.
GAGUGGAAGUGCAUGUGAGGAACUGGGAGCAAGAGGUGUGCAAGAAGCUGACUUGUGCUUCCAGAUCUAGAAGAAGACAAAAGUCUGCUCUUUUAAAAAUAGAAGUACCAUAACAACCAAUUCACAAACAGUUCCCGAAACAGAGAGAGAGACUAAGCCAUUAAGAAAACAUUUGGAUUUUGAUCUUCCAUGAGAUAAUGGAAAGGAGAUUGAUUAUGGCCUGGCCAUUUCAUUGAUCUGCAUCAAAUUUCCAUUGAAGUUAAUGGGAAUUCUGAACAUAAAACAGUGGCAUAAAAUAGAGGAAAAUCGCUGAAGAAUCCC